Molecule: small nuclear RNA, 19 nt
Filed under: Arabidopsis thaliana (thale cress)
Lineage: Eukaryota; Viridiplantae; Streptophyta; Magnoliopsida; Brassicales; Brassicaceae
Description: snRNA_01023
Source: RNAcentral
UUCGACUUCCCCUGGGGGU